CGGACGGGUGAGUAACGCGUGGAAAACCUGCCGUAUACUGGGGGAUAACACUUAGAAAUAGGUGCUAAUACCGCAUAAGCGCACAGCUUUGCAUGAAGCAGUGUGAAAAACUCCGGUGGUAUACGAUGGUUCCGCGUCUGAUUAGCUAGUUGGUGAGGUAAAAGCCCACCAAGGCGACGAUCAGUAGCCGGCCUGAGAGGGUGAACGGCCACAUUGGGACUGAGACACGGCCCAGACUCCUACGGAAGGCAGCAG
RNAcentral lists this ribosomal RNA (255 nucleotides) under uncultured bacterium. RNAcentral describes it as "partial 16S ribosomal RNA". It matches the Rfam family "Bacterial small subunit ribosomal RNA", at positions 99 to 354 of the family's 1533-position model. The record is from RNAcentral.